Molecule: ribosomal RNA, 324 nt
Filed under: uncultured eukaryote
Lineage: Eukaryota
Description: partial 18S ribosomal RNA
Rfam family: Eukaryotic small subunit ribosomal RNA
Source: RNAcentral
CCCUUAGAUGCUCUGGGCCGCACGCGCGCUACACUGGUCGAUGCAACGAGUUUCUUUCCUUGGCCGACAGGCCUGGGCAAUCUUUGAACAUCGAUCGUGAUCGGGAUAGAUUCUUGUAAUUUUUUAUCUUAAACGAGGAAUUCCUAGUAAACGCAAGUCAUCAGCUUGCAUUGAUUACGUCCCUGCCCUUUGUACACACCGCCCGUCGCACCUACCGAUUGAAUGGUCCGGUGAAAUCUCCGGACUGGCGUGAGUCGGAGCAAUCUGACAAACGCCGGAAAGUUGAUUAAACCUUACCAUUUAGAGGAAGGUGAAGUCGUAACA